Gossypium raimondii (Peruvian cotton) is the source of this 255-nucleotide long non-coding RNA. RefSeq lists it as uncharacterized. The transcript is spliced from 2 exons. The record is from RefSeq and is a predicted model, not a curated record. NCBI's taxonomy places the organism in Eukaryota, Viridiplantae, Streptophyta, Magnoliopsida, Malvales, Malvaceae.
UUUUUAACUCUUUGCUUAAAACCCAUUUCUUGGGUUUCGUUGUUUUUUUAGGGAUAUUAAUUUGGGUUUCUAAAAAGAAGAAAUUUUCAAGGUGGGCAGACAAGUAUCAGGUACCAGACAUAAACAAAUAUCUCCACUGCAAUGAUGAUACCAUUACUUUUUUCUAGUAAUAUGGGAAAAGACAAUAUAUGCAUGUUAAACUACAUUUACAAUUCGGAUUUGAUCUUUUUACUUUAAACAAGAACAUUUUGGUUA